UCUGGGAGGACCAUCUCCUAAGGCUAAAUACUCUCUAGUGACCGAUAGUGAACCAGUACCGUGAGGGAAAGGUGAAAAGCACCCCGGAAGGGGAGUGAAAUAGAACCUGAAACCGUGUGCUUACAAGUAGUCAGAGCCCGUUAAUGGGUGAUGGCGUGCCUUUUGUAGAAUGAACCGGCGAGUUACGAUUUGAUGCAAGGUUAAGCAGUAAAUGUGGAGCCGUAGCGAAAGCGAGUCUGAAUAGGGCGUUUAGUAUUUGGUCGUAGACCCGAAACCAGGUGAUCUACCCUUGGUCAGGUUGAAGUUCAGGUAACACUGAAUGGAGGACCGAACCGACUUACGUUGAAAAGUGAGCGGAUGAACUGAGGGUAGCGGAGAAAUUCCAAUCGAACCUGGAGAUAGCUGGUUCUCUCCGAAAUAGCUUUAGGGCUAGCCUCAAGUGAUGAUUAUUGGAGGUAGAGCACUGUUUGGACGAGGGGCCCCUCUCGGGUUACCGAAUUCAGACAAACUCCGAAUGCCAAUUAAUUUAACUUGGGAGUCAGAACAUGGGUGAUAAGGUCCGUGUUCGAAAGGGAAACAGCCCAGACCACCAGCUAAGGUCCCAAAAUAUAUGUUAAGUGGAAAAGGAUGUGGCGUUGCCCAGACAACUAGGAUGUUGGCUUAGAAGCAGCCAUCAUUUAAAGAGUGCGUAAUAGCUCACUAGUCGAGUGACACUGCGCCGAAAAUGUACCGGGGCUAAACAUAUUACCGAAGCUGUGGAUUGUCCUUUGGACAAUGGUAGGAGAGCGUUCUAAGGGCGUUGAAGCAUGAUCGUAAGGACAUGUGGAGCGCUUAGAAGUGAGAAUGCCGGUGUGAGUAGCGAAAGACGGGUGAGAAUCCCGUCCACCGAUUGACUAAGGUUUCCAGAGGAAGGCUCGUCCGCUCUGGGUUAGUCGGGUCCUAAGCUGAGGCCGACAGGCGUAGGCGAUGGAUAACAGGUUGAUAUUCCUGUACCACCUAUAAUCGUUUUA
RNAcentral lists this ribosomal RNA (1010 nucleotides) under Staphylococcus aureus. Its description in RNAcentral is "partial 23S ribosomal RNA". It matches the Rfam family "Bacterial large subunit ribosomal RNA", at positions 443 to 1461 of the family's 2925-position model. Lineage: Bacteria; Bacillati; Bacillota; Bacilli; Caryophanales; Staphylococcaceae. The record is from RNAcentral.